ACCACCAGUGCUACAAACAAGAGCAAGAUACAAGUAUAAAACAUAUACAAGUACAUAAAGAGAGAAGAGCUAUCUAUUACAUCCAUUUGACUUAAUACAUUUAAUUACAUCUUUCACAUUCUUCCAAAAUAUAGAUACAACCACUCUAACCUCACCCUAUACAUCAUCUACUCUCAAAUACAAAAGGGUGACAGCUAAUGCAAAAAGGGAGGUAGCUAAUGCGACUAGAGCGCCGGGCCCUUACCGCGAUCCUCACGCUCACCGGGGACGCCCGAACUAGAACCUGUGGUGAAAAUGGGGGUGAGAACUAACUUCCUUAGUUCCCAGUGGGUUCGGCCGCCGACUCCACNUUGACAUCGAUUCGUUCCAAAUUUACUCUGUCGGGACAUAAUAGAACGAGAUAAUUAGUUUUUACUCUUUGUUCGAUAGAAUGAGAAACAGUACUCGUUGCAAAUUUAUACUGUUAAGGUGCAUGUGAGCAGUCUAAUGUUGUUCCGAUUUUGGUUUUAGUGAACGUUGACAUCGAUUCGAUCCAACUUUCCACUCUCGUGGCAUAAUCCAACAAGUUAAUUAGGUUUUACUCUUUGUUCGAUGAAAUAAGAAAAAGCACUCGUUGCAAAGUUAUACUGUUAGGGCACAACUGAGUAGUCUAAUGUUGCUUCGGUUUUGGUUUUUGUGAACGUUGACAUCGAUUCGUUCCAAAUUUACACUCUUGGGGCAUAAUAGAACAAUAUAAUUAGCUUCUACUAUUUGGUCGAUAAAAUGAGAAAAAGUACUCGUUGCAAAGCUAUACUGUUAGUGCGCACCUGAGUAGUCUAAUGUUGUUCCUGUUUUGUUUCUUGUGAACGUUGACAUCGAUUCGUUCCAAAUUUACACUCUCGGGGCAU
Molecule: long non-coding RNA, 887 nt
Filed under: Ananas comosus (pineapple)
Lineage: Eukaryota; Viridiplantae; Streptophyta; Magnoliopsida; Poales; Bromeliaceae
Description: long non-coding RNA (ACOM_LNC009141)
Source: RNAcentral